RNAcentral lists this ribosomal RNA (253 nucleotides) under uncultured bacterium. RNAcentral's name for it is "partial 16S ribosomal RNA". It matches the Rfam family "Bacterial small subunit ribosomal RNA", at positions 524 to 776 of the family's 1533-position model. The record is from RNAcentral.
UACGAAGGGGGCUAGCGUUGUUCGGAUUUACUGGGCGUAAAGGGUGCGUAGGCGGAUUUUUAAGUCAGGGGUGAAAUCCCAAGGCUCAACCUUGGAACUGCCUUUGAUACUGGGGAUCUUGAGUCCGAGAGAGGUGAGUGGAACUGCGAGUGUAGAGGUGAAAUUCGUAGAUAUUCGCAAGAACACCAGUGGCGAAGGCGGCUCACUGGCCCGGAACUGACGCUGAGGCACGAAAGCGUGGGGAGCAAACAGG